GGGCUGUCGGUCUAGAGGUAUGAUUCUCGCUUUGGGGAUAAUGAGCUAAUACAUAAGAUGAUGAACGUUCAUCUCCUGCAAGAGGUCCCGGGCUCAAUCCCCGGACAGCCCC
This is a non-coding RNA of Podospora didyma, 112 nucleotides long. The record is from the annotation of a GenBank genome assembly. NCBI's taxonomy places the organism in Eukaryota, Fungi, Ascomycota, Sordariomycetes, Sordariales, Podosporaceae.